GUAAGAGUAAAAAUGAUUGUAAAUCAUUUAUGGAAUAAAUCUCCUCUUUCA
This 51-nucleotide transfer RNA is filed under the name Leptotrombidium fletcheri. RNAcentral's name for it is "tRNA-Tyr". Lineage: Eukaryota; Metazoa; Arthropoda; Arachnida; Trombidiformes; Trombiculidae. The record is from RNAcentral.